This 139-nucleotide small nucleolar RNA is filed under the name Oryza longistaminata (longstamen rice). RNAcentral's name for it is "snoRNA snoR77". It matches the Rfam family "Small nucleolar RNA snoR77". The record is from RNAcentral. Lineage: Eukaryota; Viridiplantae; Streptophyta; Magnoliopsida; Poales; Poaceae.
AGGCAGCCCCUUUGUCCGAUUUCAAUGGCAAUGGAGGUGUUGCGUUGCUCGGAGAGUGAUUUCUUCUGCUCUUCAGAUUAGCUGAGGGGGAUGGCUUGCCUUCCCUCGCUGAAGCUUGUCUAGUAGUCUUAAGAACAUU